UUAUUUUUUGUUGUUGUUUUGGAGCACCAUACGAAACACAAAUGAGUGUCAGAGAUAAUGCGCGCUGAAGAGAAGAUUAAAGGAUAGCGAGAGUAUAUAAUUGAGAGUGAAAUACAUAUAUGAAUAAACUUGGAUAUGUGGCAACCUUCUGCAUAUAAGUA
Bactrocera neohumeralis is the source of this 161-nucleotide long non-coding RNA. RefSeq lists it as uncharacterized. The record is from RefSeq and is a predicted model, not a curated record. NCBI's taxonomy places the organism in Eukaryota, Metazoa, Arthropoda, Insecta, Diptera, Tephritidae. The transcript is spliced from 2 exons.